This 497-nucleotide ribosomal RNA is filed under the name uncultured bacterium. RNAcentral describes it as "partial 16S ribosomal RNA". It matches the Rfam family "Bacterial small subunit ribosomal RNA", at positions 28 to 507 of the family's 1533-position model. The record is from RNAcentral.
GAUGAACGCUGGCGGCGUGCCUAAUACAUGCAAGUCGAGCGAACAGACGAGGAGCUUGCUCCUCUGACGUUAGCGGCGGACGGGUGAGUAACACGUGGAUAACCUACCUAUAAGACUGGGAUAACUUCGGGAAACCGGAGCUAAUACCGGAUAAUAUAUUGAACCGCAUGGUUCAAUAGUGAAAGACGGUUUUGCUGUCACUUAUAGAUGGAUCCGCGCCGCAUUAGCUAGUUGGUAAGGUAACGGCUUACCAAGGCGACGAUGCGUAGCCGACCUGAGAGGGUGAUCGGCCACACUGGAACUGAGACACGGUCCAGACUCCUACGGGAGGCAGCAGUAGGGAAUCUUCCGCAAUGGGCGAAAGCUUGACGGAGCAACGCCGCGUGAGUGAUGAAGAUCUUCGGAUCGUAAAACUCUGUUAUUAGGGAAGAACAAAUGUGUAAGUAACUAUGCACGUCUUGACGGUACCUAAUCAGAAAGCCACGGCUAACUACGUG